GGGUGAUCUGCUGAGUGUCUUCAGAUCAAAUAUUCUAUUUAAUUAGCCACUAAAUUUCUCAUAAAGUAUUGUCUAAACCUUCCAUAAAUGUAACACUUUCACCUUCCAUGAAUGUAAUCAAAAGAAUUUAUCUAUAAUUCAAGAAUCAGGAAGAGUUAAUGAUUUCUACAUCCAAACAAAAAUGCAACACAAAUAAGUUCUUAAUGUGCUCAUUUGGAAUAAUUUCUCAGGACCACUGCUUAGCUGUAUAUACCCUUCAAGGAUGCAUUCUCUUAUGAAUGCUGUUCAGAAAGGAUAUUCACAUUUGGACACUCAUUGGCAUCAGAGUCACUGGUGCAACACUGGUGAGUGACGUGGGAGUCCACUCCACUGGGUCAUGCUACUGACUGUUCUGAAAUCCUCGGCUCCACUGGGGUCUGAACCUAACAUUUACUUUUAAUGUGAUUACAGAUACAAGUACAUUUGAGUUUAUCAUCUUGCUUUUUUAUUUUAUUUGUCCCAAUCUGUCCUUAGUUCUCUUUCCCUCUUUGUUUGCCUUCCUUUGGGUUAAUACUUUUUAUGGUUUCAUUUUAUUGGUUUAUUAGCUGUAACACUUUAUUUUGUUAUUGUAGUAAUUACUUUAGGUUUUAUCAUAUACACCUUUAACUUAUCACAGUCUACCUUCAAAUGAUAUUGCCCCAUAUCAUAUAUAUCAUAAGAGCCUUACAAUGGUGUAAUCCAUUUCUUCCCCUCUGACCCUUAUGCUAUAGCUGUCAUGCAUUUUCCUUUUUACAUAUGUUAUAAACCCACAGUCAAUGAUCUUUCAGGGAGAAAUAAAAAUUUUAAAGUCAUGUA
Manis pentadactyla (Chinese pangolin) is the source of this 834-nucleotide long non-coding RNA. RefSeq lists it as uncharacterized. The transcript has 2 exons. NCBI's taxonomy places the organism in Eukaryota, Metazoa, Chordata, Mammalia, Pholidota, Manidae. The record is from RefSeq and is a predicted model, not a curated record.